AAGUAAUUAAGUGCAUGUGGUGGAUGCCUUGGCAGUCAGAGGCGAUGAAAGACGUGAUAGCCUGCGAAAAGCUCCGGGGAGGCGGCAAAUAUCCUUUGAUCCGGAGAUGUCUGAAUGGGGGAACCCACCUACUUUAAGGUAGGUAUUGCAACAUGAAUACAUAGUGUUGCAAGGCGAACGAGGGGAAGUGAAACAUCUCAGUACCCUUAGGAAAAGAAAUCAAUUGAGAUUCCCUCAGUAGCGGCGAGCGAACGGGGAUCAGCCCAUUAGUUAUGUGUGUUUUAGUGGAACGCUCUGGGAAGUGCGAACGUAGAGGGUGAUAUUCCCGUACACGAAAGGGCACACAUAAUGAUGACGAGUAGGGCGAGGCACGUGAAACCUUGUCUGAAUAUGGGGGGACCAUCCUCCAAGGCUAAAUACUCCUGACUGACCGAUAGUGAACCAGUACCGUGAGGGAAAGGCGAAAAGAACCCCUGUGAGGGGAGUGAAAUAGAUCCUGAAACCGCAUGCAUACAAGCAGUGGGAGCACCUUCGUGGUGUGACUGCGUACCUUUUGUAUAAUGGGUCAGCGACUUAUAUUCAGUAGCGAGGUUAACCGUAUAGGGGAGCCGUAGAGAAAUCGAGUCUUAAUAGGGCGUUUAGUUGCUGGGUAUAGACCCGAAACCAGGCGAUCUAUCCAUGAGCAGGUUGAAGGUUGGGUAACACUAACUGGAGGACCGAACCCACUGUCGUUGAAAAGCCAGGGGAUGACUUGUGGAUAGGGGUGAAAGGCUAAUCAAGCCUGGUGAUAGCUGGUUCUCCCCGAAAGCUAUUUAGGUAGCGCCUCGGACGAAUACCAUAGGGGGUAGAGCACUGUUUCGGCUAGGGGGUCAUCCCGACUUACCAAACCGAUGCAAACUCCGAAUACCUAUGAGUACUAUCCGGGAGACAGACUGCGGGUGCUAACGUCCGUAGUCAAGAGGAAAACAAUCCAGACCGCCAGCUAAGGCCCCAAAAUCAUAGUUAAGUGGGAAACGAUGUGGGAAGGCAUAGACAGCUAGGAGGUUGGCUUAGAAGCAGCCACCCUUUAAAGAAAGCGUAAUAGCUCACUAGUCGAGUCGGCCUGCGCGGAAGAUGUAACGGGGCUAAAACUAUGUGCCGAAGCUGCGGAUGUAUACUUUGUAUACGUGGUAGGGGAGCGUUCUGUAAGCCGAUGAAGGUGUGUUGAGAAGCAUGCUGGAGGUAUCAGAAGUGCGAAUGCUGACGUGAGUAACGACAAAACGGGUGAAAAACCCGUUCGCCGAAAGACCAAGGGUUCCAGUCCAACGUUAAUCGGGGCUGGGUGAGUCGACCCCUAAGGCGAGGCCGAAAGGCGUAGUCGAUGGGAAAAUGGUUAAUAUUCCAUUACUUCUGUGUAAUGCGAUGAGAGGACGGAGAAGGCUAAAUCAGCCUGGCGUUGGUUGUCCAGGUGAAAGGAUGUAGGCAUGUAUCUUAGGCAAAUCCGGGGUACUCUAUGCUGAGAUCUGAUAGCAAGCUGUACUUGUACAGCGAAGUGGUUGAUGCCAUGCUUCCAGGAAAAGUCUCUAAGCUUCAGUUACACAGGAAUCGUACCCGAAACCGACACAGGUGGUCAGGUCGAGUAGACCAAGGCGCUUGAGAGAACUCUGCUGAAGGAACUAGGCAAAAUGGUACCGUAACUUCGGGAGAAGGUACGCUGUUGUUGGUGAUGGAACUCGCUUCCUGAGCUGACGACAGCCGCAGAAACCAGGCCGCUGCAACUGUUUAUUAAAAACAUAGCACUCUGCAAACACGAAAGUGGACGUAUAGGGUGUGAUGCCUGCCCGGUGCUGGAAGGUUAAUUGAUGGGGUUAGCGUAAGCGAAGCUCUUGAUCGAAGCCCCAGUAAACGGCGGCCGUAACUAUAACGGUCCUAAGGUAGCGAAAUUCCUUGUCGGGUAAGUUCCGACCUGCACGAAUGGCAUAAUGAUGGCGGCGCUGUCUCCAGCAGAGGCUCAGUGAAAUCGAAAUCGCUGUGAAGAUGCAGUGUACCCGCGGCUAGACGGAAAGACCCCGUGAACCUUUACUGCAGCUUGACACUGAACUUUGACCUUACUUGUGUAGGAUAGGUGGGAGGCUUUGAAGCUGGAACGCUAGUUCCAGUGGAGCCGUCCUUGAAAUACCACCCUGGUAAUGUUGAGGUUCUAACUCUGUCCCGUGAUCCGGGACGAGGACCGUGUCUGGUGGGUAGUUUGACUGGGGCGGUCUCCUCCUAAAGAGUAACGGAGGAGUACGAAGGUGCGCUCAGCGUGGUCGGAAAUCACGCGUAGAGUAUAAAGGCAAAAGCGCGCUUAACUGCGAGACCCACAAGUCGAGCAGGUACGAAAGUAGGUCUUAGUGAUCCGGUGGUUCUGUAUGGAAGGGCCAUCGCUCAACGGAUAAAAGGUACUCUGGGGAUAACAGGCUGAUACCGCCCAAGAGUUCAUAUCGACGGCGGUGUUUGGCACCUCGAUGUCGGCUCAUCUCAUCCUGGGGCUGAAGCAGGUCCCAAGGGUAUGGCUGUUCGCCAUUUAAAGAGGUACGCGAGCUGGGUUUAGAACGUCGUGAGACAGUUCGGUCCCUAUCUACCGUGGGCGCUGGAAAUUUGAGAGGAUCUGCUCCUAGUACGAGAGGACCAGAGUGGACGAACCUCUGGUGUACCGGUUGUGACGCCAGUCGCAUCGCCGGGUAGCUAUGUUCGGAAGGGAUAACCGCUGAAAGCAUCUAAGCGGGAAGCCUACCUCAAGAUAAGAUUUCCCUAGGACUUUAUGUCCUCUAAAGAGCCGUUCGAGACUAGGACGUUGAUAGGUUGGAUGUGGAAGCAUAGUGAUAUGUGAAGCUGACCAAUACUAAUUGCUCGUGAGGCUUGACUAU
This 2888-nucleotide ribosomal RNA is filed under the name Acinetobacter baumannii 1195185_11. Its description in RNAcentral is "bacterial LSU rRNA". It matches the Rfam family "Bacterial large subunit ribosomal RNA". The record is from RNAcentral. Lineage: Bacteria; Pseudomonadati; Pseudomonadota; Gammaproteobacteria; Moraxellales; Moraxellaceae.